AUCCAGAUGAUGAAUCCCAAAUAGGACGAAACGCGCGUCCUAGAU
This is a non-coding RNA of Schistosoma haematobium, 45 nucleotides long. NCBI's taxonomy places the organism in Eukaryota, Metazoa, Platyhelminthes, Trematoda, Strigeidida, Schistosomatidae. The record is from Rfam.